UACGGAGGGAGCUAGCGUUGUUCGGAAUUACUGGGCGUAAAGCGCGCGUAGGCGGCUUUGUAAGUUAGAGGUGAAAGCCCGGAGCUCAACUCCGGAACUGCCUUUAAAACUGCAUCGCUUGAAUCCAGGAGAGGUGAGUGGAAUUCCGGGUGUAGCGGUGGAAUGCGUAGAGAUCCGGAAGAACACCGGAGGCGAAGGCGGCUUGCUGGGCGUGAUCUGACGCUGAGGCGCGAAAGCGUGGGGAGCGAACAGG
Molecule: ribosomal RNA, 253 nt
Filed under: uncultured bacterium
Lineage: Bacteria
Description: partial 16S ribosomal RNA
Rfam family: Bacterial small subunit ribosomal RNA
Source: RNAcentral